Molecule: transfer RNA, 72 nt
Filed under: Streptococcus pneumoniae
Lineage: Bacteria; Bacillati; Bacillota; Bacilli; Lactobacillales; Streptococcaceae
Also listed under: 1 other name
Description: tRNA-Gln
Rfam family: tRNA
About the family: Transfer RNA (tRNA) molecules are approximately 80 nucleotides in length. Their secondary structure includes four short double-helical elements and three loops (D, anti-codon, and T loops).
Source: RNAcentral
UGGGGUAUAGCCAAGCGGUAAGGCAAGGGACUUUGACUCCCUCAUGUGUUGGUUCGAAUCCAGCUACCCCAG